Molecule: ribosomal RNA, 1062 nt
Filed under: Triticum aestivum (bread wheat)
Lineage: Eukaryota; Viridiplantae; Streptophyta; Magnoliopsida; Poales; Poaceae
Description: partial small subunit ribosomal RNA
Source: RNAcentral
AUGGACGACGGCUCGUCAUGCCCGACCGACAGCGCCGGGCUUCUGCCGCUCUUCGUUGGCUCCCCGACGGCUGAGGGUCUCGAAGAGAAGCUGAUGCGAGUGCGCGAGGAGAACCGGCGGCUGGCCGGAACGCUCGGCGCCAUACUCGCCGGUCGCCCUGACCUGCGUGCUCUGGCGAGGGCUCCAGCCUCAGCCGUCGCCACCGCUAGGGCGCCGAGCGGCUCUGCCUCCAAUGCAGUGAGGGAGGAGGCCGCCGGAGUGACGGUGGAGCCGCGGCCCAAGGUCAGGACGGUCUGCGCGCGCGCGGAGCCUGCCGACACCGACGCCAACCUUGGCGUCAAGGACGGGUACCAGUGGAGGAAGUACGGGCAGAAGGUGACGCGCGACAACCCGCACCCCAGAUCCUACUUCCGCUGCGCAUUUGCUCCAUCUUGCCCAGUGAAGAAGAAGGUGCAGAGAGACGCGGAGGACAGGUCAAAGCUGGUGGCGACCUACGAGGGUGAGCACAACCACGCUAAAUACCCGGAGCGAGAAUUCGUCGGCAGCGAGUCCACAGGCCACGCGGGGUCGCGGCCUUGCUCGAUCUCCAUUAACCCGUCCGGCCGGACGAUCAGGCUAGAAGAUAUGACGAAUCAUGGGUCAGGAUCGAGGCUGGACCUGGAGACUAUCCGGAGGGAGGUUGUUACGCCUGAAUUUCAGAAGCUUCUGGUGGAGAAGAUGGUGAAUUCGCUCAAGAAUGAUGCAGAUUUCAUGCAUGCUCUAACAAAUGCGGUGGCUGAAAGAAUACUGGAAAAUAUUCCUGCCCGGCUAAGUCGGUGCGAGCUAACAAUGUUGCAACAGCUAUGUCGGUGCGAGCGAGGACUUGCCAGAACCUCGCCUGAGGUAGAGGCGACGCGGUUUUGCCGGCGUAGGAGAGACGGGGAGGAAAUCAAGUGUGCGCUUGACGAAGAAAGUGAACAGUGGUUGGCCGGCGAGGAAAGAGGAAAGAUAGCCAUUGGAUUGGAAUCUAACAUAUCACGCAAAUCAACUGAAAGACGAAUCAUUUUUAGGCAACUGACUUAG